GAGUGACCUCGCGCGAGAGUUUAUAUUUCUCGCGAGACUUCACCGUCUCUGUCUUUUCCUCCUUCCAGUGUCCGGCUUUCUUCCCUUCCCCCUCGCCGCCGACCGAGUUCUUCGUUUUUAGACCGAGUCGCCUUGUUGUCGUCGCGGUGAUUUUCCUGCUACUGCUACUGCUGCUGCUGCCGCCGCCACUACCACUGGGCUCAUUUGCCCCGACCCCUUCCCGCCGCCCCGCCCCCAGCCCCACACAAGAUGUCAGAGGAUUUAGCAAAGCAGCUGGCAAGCUACAAAGCUCAGCUCCAGCAAGUUGAAGCUGCAUUAUCUGGAAAUGGAGAAAAUGAAGAUUUGCUAAAAUUGAAGAAAGAUUUACAAGAAGUUAUAGAACUAACCAAAGACCUUCUGUCAACUCAACCUUCUGAGACGCUUGCGAGUUCAGACAGUUUUGCUUCUACUCAACCUACUCAUUCAUGGAAAGUAGGAGACAAGUGUAUGGCAAUCUGGAGUGAAGAUGGACAGUGUUAUGAAGCGGAGAUUGAGGAGAUAGAUGAAGAAAAUGGCACCGCUGCAAUCACCUUUGCUGGUUAUGGCAAUGCUGAAGUGACUCCACUGUUGAACCUCAAGCCUGUAGAAGAAGGAAGGAAGGCAAAGGAGGACAGUGGCAACAAACCCAUGUCAAAAAAAGAAAUGAUUGCCCAGCAGCGUGAAUAUAAAAAGAAGAAAGCUUUGAAAAAAGCUCAGAGAAUAAAAGAACUUGAGCAGGAAAGAGAGGACCAGAAAGUGAAAUGGCAGCAAUUCAACAACAGAGCCUAUUCUAAAAACAAAAAAGGCCAGGUAAAGAGGAGUAUUUUUGCUUCACCUGAGAGUGUGACUGGCAAAGUUGGAGUAGGAACUUGUGGAAUUGCUGAUAAACCUAUGACACAAUAUCAAGAUACCUCUAAAUACAAUGUCAGGCAUUUGAUGCCUCAAUAAUCAGAAAAACUGUUGGAUUUCAUCUCUGCAGGGCUUUACAUUUACCUUUUUAUCCUUAUAUUUUUCUAAAGGAUUUUUGAGUUGCAAGUUAAACUGAAUUUUUACUGCAGUGGAGAGGAGGAGCAUAGCAGGCAAAAUAACAGGUAAUACUGUAUUUUAAACAAACAGAAAAACCCAAGUAAUUGGCACCCUUUAUCUGAUCAUCUUUUAAAAGGCCUAUAUAUGUGUAUAGUUAUGUUCUUAAGAAACAUCUUAAGAGGUUCAGAAAUCAAUUUUAUAGAUGGAACAUUUUAAUAAUUUGUUUUGGCCUAGCCAAAAGUAAGUAAAAUAAAACAAAAUGGUGUUAGAUUAUGUAUGUAUAUAAAGGUUGUUCUUUUGUGGCCUUGAUUGGGGUAAAGCAGAACUGAGAAUAAUAGGGGUUUGUGGUAGUCGACAGCUGAACUAGCUAAAAAUACGAAGUUUUGGAUAUUUAAUUAAUCUUUCAGUUCCCAGGCAAUAAAAACUGGAAACUUAGUUCCACCACACACCUUACCAGUUCAUUUAAAACCAGUAUAGUCACUGGAAUUAUUUAAACUGUAAUUUGUUUCUCCACUUAGUCUUUUUUAAGAAUACAGCUGAAAGAGCCAUGGUGAUAAUUAUUAGGAGAAAAGGUUGGCAUUUUGUUUGAAGAGCUACUUUCUCAACUUGGGGCUGAAAGUUAUCGUUGUUAUUUUGCUGGCUCAGGAUUUCCCUUUCUUGGUAAAACUGAUGUGCUUUUGUUUUUUCCCCUUUCAAGCCCUGUACUUACUUUAGCAAGAUGCAGUGAAUUUCUGACCAGAGAAACAAAGAAUUCAGGCUUGGAGGAAACACUUGACUCCAUAUCCUGGGAAACUAGAGUUGAAGCCUGAGAUCUGAAGCUAGGCUAGUAAUCACUUUAAUAGAUGGUAACUGUCCAAAUGUUCAUUGCUCAGAAGUAGCAGGAAGGAGUAAGUAUCCCUUUAAUUCUUUUGCCUGGAGUUUUUCCCUCCAAAAUCACCCUCAGGUUUAGUUGACCUAGCUUUCUUUCUAAGUGUGAUGAAGCUACUAACUUAGAAACGACUGAUCUUAAAUGUAUACUCUUCUUGUGAUUUUAGAGGUACUUUUAUAGGUUUUGUUAUAUUUUUACAGUGCUAUUCUGUGCCCUGGUAUGAGCAUCUGAAAUAAAUAUCUCAAUUAUUACCCUACCAAUAAAGAUUUUUAAAGCAUUCCCCAAGGCAAAGAGCUAUGAGCUUGAGGAUAUGGAAGAAAUGCCAAAACUACAGUAAGUUAGUUGGCAGUAUCUUAAAAGAACUUCAUUUAAAGCCAUUUUCUCUAAUUUAUGACUGUAUAGAAAGGUAAAACAGAACAGGAAGUGAAGUUUUCAGCCAGUACAUUUAUUUUGAACUAUGCUGCCUAUUUAAAACAAUCUGACAUAUUCCACAAGAAAACCAGUUUCCUAUUAGAUCUGAUACAUAGGAAAGGAGAUAGCUGCUGAUUCUCUUUUCUUGGCACAGUCAGCACUAAAUACUAACCUAGGGCACGUUAUUAUCAGUGUAUAAUAUGUUCAACUUGAGAUUAGUCCUUUUUCUUUUUUUUAGAAAGACCAGAUAAUCACUAAAACUGAUGCUACAUUAAUCUUAUAAAGCCUUUAUUUAAGAAAUUCUAUAGGAGGCUGGGUGCGGUGGCUCACACCUGUAAUUUCAGCACUUUGGGAGGCCAAGGUGGGCAGAUCACAUAAGGCCAGGAGUUCGAGACCAGCCUGGCCAACAUGGUGAAAUGCUCUCUCUACUAAAAAAUACAAAAAUUAGCCAGGUGUGGUGGCACAUGCCAUAGUCCCAGCUACUCAGGAGGCUAAGGCAGGAGAAUUGCUUGAACCCAAAAGGUGGAGGUUGCAGUGAGCCAAGGUCACACCACUGCACUAUACAGCCUGGAUGACAGAAAUUCUAUAGGAAAUAAAAAAUGACUUCUUUAUUAAAGUAUUACCUGCCAUGGAAUUUUGUUUAAGUGAACCAAUAUUUAGAAACAGUCUUUUUCUGUAAGAUCUGGAGUCAAAGUGACUAAAAUUCAGGAUUAAGGAUGCAUUAGAAGGUUGUGUUCAUCAGAGAAACUAGAGAAACACACCCCUUUUAAUUUCCUUAGUACUACAUCUUCCUAGAUGGCAGUCGGGGAGUGGGGUGGUAGUUUAUAUAUAUCUGCUUAAAUCCUUACAACCUUUCAAGAUAGAGGUAGUACUUAUAAUAGCUUUUCAGGAGGAAAAGGGCUCCAUGAAGAAAUUAAGUAACUAGGGUCAGCAAUGUUGGAACUGGGAUUAAAGUGUAAUUUUUUUUUUUUUUUUUUUGAGACGGAGUCUCGCUCUGUCGCCCAGGCUGGAGUGCAGUGGCGCAAUCUCGGCUUACUGCAAGCUCCGCCUCCCGGGUUCACGCCAUUCUCCUGCCUCAGCCUCUCCGACUAGCUGGGACUACAGGCACCUGCCGCCACGCCUGGCUAAUUUUGUUUUUGUAUUUUUAGUAGAGACGGGGUUUCACCGUGGUCUCGAUCUCCUGACCUGGUGAUCCACCCGCCUCGGCCUCCCAAAGUGUUGGGAUUACAAGCGUGAGCCACCGCGCCCGGCCUAAAGUGUAAUUAAAACACUUGCUGUUCCCACAUUUUACUGUUCUGGGUUAACUGUUGGGAACCUGAUUUUGGUCAGGAACUUUGCCUCAAUAAUCCUCACUGCCUCUUAAAAUUCCUUCAUAACGCUAAAAGCAGUCAUUGUCGGGGAGAUUAGAAAGGCAUUUCUAUAGGAGUUCUCAUAUCUGUUCUAACCAGAAACUUGAGUUGCAGUGACUUCAGAAUCCUUUAGUUAUAAUGCGCUACAGUAGGUUUUACCUGUACCUUUUUGAGACGGAGUCUCGCUCUGUUGCCCAGGCUGGAGUGCAGUGGCUCAAUCUCAGCUCACUGCAGCCUCCGCCUCCCAGGUUCAAGAUUCUCCUGCCUCAGCCUCCUGAGUAGCUGGGACUACAGGUGCAUGCCACCAUGCCCAGCUAAUUUUUCG
This is an RNA transcript of Symphalangus syndactylus (siamang), 3997 nucleotides long. It is a transcript of the gene named survival motor neuron domain containing 1, with no coding region annotated. The record is from RefSeq and is a predicted model, not a curated record. NCBI's taxonomy places the organism in Eukaryota, Metazoa, Chordata, Mammalia, Primates, Hylobatidae.